Musa acuminata subsp. malaccensis (wild Malaysian banana) is the source of this 1555-nucleotide non-coding RNA. The record is from RefSeq and is a predicted model, not a curated record. Lineage: Eukaryota; Viridiplantae; Streptophyta; Magnoliopsida; Zingiberales; Musaceae.
UCGCGGCGGAGGGUGAGCGACUCAAUCCACAGACAUCGGAGCCCGUUUCUCCCGUUCAUCCACCGACGUAUACCCCACGCUACUAGUCUGCUUCCAUCUCCCCCUCGAAGACCUUCGACUACCGAAGCCUUCACCCGUACCGGACAUAUCGGGGUAGGGCGAGCAGAGGGAUCGAAUCUACUGCGAAUCAAUUGAUUCGUUCGGUUCUGAUCCCUCUCCGCCGAUCUCCAUGCUCGAAUCACCUCCACAACGGGAUCCAGACAGCCAAGAUCGUCUGGUCCCGCGUGCCCAGCUCCCAGGAGGGCGAGCCUGCCGAGGUCGAGUUCGCCAGCAGGAGCCACGGCGGCGCCGGCGCCGAGAGCCUCGACUACGAGGUGAUCGAGAAUUACGCCUACCGAAAAGAGCAGGUAGAGUUUGCCCUAGGCGCAGGGAGGAAAACUCUGUGUUUCGUAUUAUGUGGUCCUCAAAUGGUUGUUCUCUUUAGUUAUUGGCAUCGGUCUUUAUGAAGAGCAAGCCCAACUGAGGCAUUCCUCUGCUUGAAUCAAGGCCAAAGCAAUAUUUGCGUAACAGGGCAGCCAAGGAGGCAUGCAAGAAUCAGAAGGUUUCAGCUACUACUAAGAUGUAGGAAAAUAAAGAUACAAUUUCUUAUUCAGAUCUUUAUCUAACAUAUGGUUGCCUUUGUGUUGAAAGGUUGUAUAAUUCCCUCGUUUUGUUAAAGUUAGAGAUAUCAUCUCUGUGUUAUGGAGCAACAAGCACAAUGGCUUCCCAGUGAUAGAUCAUGAACAGAAUGGAGAGGCGCUUGUUAUUGGUCUCAUCCUUUGCAGUCACUUGUUGGUACUUGUAAAGUUUAAGAUGGAUUUUCAGAACAGUCCUUUUCCUUGUGAUAUGUGGGGAGUAUCCAACAGGCAGAACUUCAGUGAUUUUGUCAAAACUGUCUCAGGUAAAGGAAUGUCCACAGAGGAUAUUCAUCUAACUGAGGAUGAACUGGAACUCUACUUAGAUCUUGCCUCGUACUUAAACCCUGCCCCAUAUAUUGUGCCAGAAGAUAUGUCUUUGGCAAAGGUGUACAAUCUUUUCCGACAGUUGGGCCUGAGGCAUAUAUUUGUUGUCCCUUCCUUCUCAUCUUAUAGGUUUGGUUACUAGGAAGGAUUUGUUAAUUGAGGAAAGUGAUCAUUCAGCAACCAUGGAACUUUCAUCAACUAGUGUAAGAGCUCAGCAUCUAGAUAGAAGAACAAUUGGUGGACAUACACAUCCAGAGCACCCUCUUCUUGAUAGUCUUCUCAUCCAGGAAUAACAAUUCAGUGAUUGUGGACUUGGUGCUCUUGCUUGUAAGAUUUGUAUUGAGCAUUUAAAGCGAGUCAUCAUAUUGAUAACAUCUCCAUCUCAAAUAUUUUUAAUCUUAAAAAAGAGAGGUGGUUUACGUUGUUCAGCCACGUACUGUAAUCUAAGAGCAGUAUUCGGUAUGCCCUGUCGUAAUUCUACGUCAGGAUGUCACCCUACGUACGUUCUCCUCCUUUGAACAUGACGACCCAUCACAUCAUUUGUCUAACUAGGA